CCGGAAUUUAGUUGGGUUUUAAAGGGUCCGUAGGCGGAUUGAUUAAGUCAGGGUGAAAGUUUUGCAGCUUCAACUGUAAAAUUGCCUUUGAUACUGGUUAUCUUGAGUUGUAUUGAAGUAGGCGGAAUAUGUAGUGUAGCGGUGAAAUGCAUAGAUAUUACAUAGAACACCAAUUGCGAAGGCAGCUUACUAAGUACUAACUGACGCUGAUGGACGAAAGCGUGGGUAGCGAACAGGAUUAGAUACCCUGGUAGUCCACGCCGUAAACGAUGGAUACUAGCUGUUCGGGGCCUUGAGCUCUGAGCGGCUAAGCGAAAGUGAUAAGUAUCCCACCUGGGGAGUACGUUCGCAAGAAUGAAACUCAAAGGAAUUGACGGGGGCCCGCACAAGCGGUGGAGCAUGUGGUUUAAUUCGGAUGAUACGCGAGGAACCUUACCAGGGCUUAAAUGUAAGAUGCAUUAGUUAGAGAUAGCUAUUUCUUCGGACUUCUUACAAGGUGCUGCAUGGUU
Molecule: ribosomal RNA, 509 nt
Filed under: uncultured Flavobacteriaceae bacterium
Lineage: Bacteria; Pseudomonadati; Bacteroidota; Flavobacteriia; Flavobacteriales; Flavobacteriaceae
Description: bacterial SSU rRNA
Rfam family: Bacterial small subunit ribosomal RNA
Source: RNAcentral